GUCAAGCACGCAACGUGUUACAAACUAUAUUGGCUGUCUGUUUCGCCCAUGUUGCCUGUUUGGAAUUCGUCCUCCUAAUGGAAUUGGAUGCCACCUCUACUGAUGGUAUUUGUUGUACAAUCACCCAAACAACUUUCCCACUUUGUGGACCGAACUACCUAUCUGAUCUCUUCUGGUUGAUUGUAAUAAGGCACUGCAAUGCAUAUUCAACUUUACUUAAGCCCAUAUAGCCUAGUAGCAAUUUACUCAUUGGAUGGUGUCUUCUCAUUUUAGCUGGAAAAUGGGUGCAAUAAUACCGUCUCCAUUUCUCUUCAUUCUUCUUGUCAUUCUUAUUAUUCCUUGGGUUGUUGAGUCGGUCCAUUCUUUGCAUCCCCACAAAAACAAUGCUUCAGAUGAGCAGGCUCUUUUGGCAUUCAGGACUGCAAUCAAAUAUGAUCAAGAAAAUUCAUUCGUGACAUGGGCACCCAACAUCUCAUUCUGCAAGUGGAAAGGCGUUACAUGCUCUGUCCGCAGACAGAGAGUAUCCUCUCUGAGUCUUACUGGCGUGGGUUUGGUAGGUACCAUCUCCCCUUUCCUCGGCAAUCUUUCAUUUCUUAGUAUUCUUGACCUUUCUAAUAAUAACCUUGACGGCCACGUCCCCAAUCAAUUGCAUAGCCUUUCUCGCUUAAGGUAUCUUCAUUUACAUAAAAACCGCCUGGAAGGUUCAAUUCCCCCUACCCUUAGUGCCUGCCACAACUUAAUGGACCUUAAUAUCUGGGAUAACCAUCUGACUGGAAAUAUUCCACCCGACUUUGGGUUUCUCUUCAAUUUAAACUCCAUCCAGCUUAGCCGAAACAACUUGACGGGAAUCAUUCCCAACUCCUUGGGCAACAUAUCCUCUUUGAACUAUUUAGAUUUGAGCGAAAAUAAGCUUGAGGGCCAUAUUCCUCAGGAAAUGGGUAGGCUUUCCCUACUGAAUCUGGUGGAUUUGGGCGGGAACCGCCUUACUGGAGAAAUUCCUUCUUCCUUGUCAAACUGCACUAAUCUAGAGGCAUUGGCUCUAACAGACAAUCACUUAUCUGGAGAGAUACCAGGGGAGUUUUGCUCCAAGAAUACCCUUCUGAAACAAUUAUAUUUAGCUGGUAACAGACUUAGUGGUGAAAUUCCUGCUACACUAUUAAUUGUUCACAAUUCCAAAUACUCAGCUUGGAGAACAACCAGCUGAGUGGAACGGUGCCCUUUGAGCUGGGAAAGUUGCGUAAACUCACUCUCCUUUCCUUGUGGGCUAAUCAGUUUGUCAGCGGCAGCAAUACAAACUUGCCCUUUCUCACUUCUCUUACUAAUUGUUCUGUUCUCCGAGUCCUGCAAUUGAGUAAGAAUAAUCUGGCAGGAACCCUACCUUCUUCUGUAGGACAACUUUCUACAAAACUUGAAAUAUUAUACUUCGAUUUCAACAAUAUAGAAGGAAAAAUCCCCCCCCAGAUUGGAAACCUCACUAAUUUAUCUGUAUUAUCAUUGCAUCAGAAUCUUUUAACAGGUGUUGUUCCUUCCACUGUUGGUAUGCUUCAAAGGCUAGAGAAAUUGCAGUUGAGUAAUAACAAUUUACAAGGAAACAUUCCAAUGGAGAUCAGUCAGCUAAAAAGCCUAGGGUUUCUAGCUUUUUAUGAAAAUAAAUUUGAGGGAAACAUUCCUGCGUCUCUUGACCACCUCCAGCAGAUGAGAUACCUAUAUCUUGAUCACAACCAGUUAACAGGCACUAUUCCUUUAAGUCUAGGCAAAUGAACCAGGUUGGAAGACCUUGACCUUUCAGACAAUAGGCUCCGUGGACAUGUGCCUCCUCAAGUGGCGGGGCUGCAAAAUAUCGCUUUCUAUUGGGACCUCUCAAAUAAUUUAUUGGAAGGCCCUUUGCCUUUAGAACUCGGCGAGAUGGAGAAGGUUCAAGGUAUAGAUAUUUCGGCAAAUCAAUUAACAGGUAAUAUUCCAAGUACAAUAGGGAGCUGUAUAGCGAUUCAAUAUUUGAAUCUCUCCUUUAAUAAAAUCAAUGGUUCAAUUCCAGAAUCCCUUGGAAAACUUCUAAAUCUCCAAGAUAUAGAUCUCUCUUUCAACAAUUUGUUAGGGAAAAUACCAAUGUCUUUGGGUAAACUUGGAGCGCUUCAACAUCUGAAUUUUUCUACAAACAAGUUGGAAGGAGAAGUCCCAAAAGAUGGUGUUUUCAAAAAGCAUGGUGCAAUAUCAUUGAUUGGAAAUGUUGGCCUUUGCGGACCUUGGGUAAAGUUGCCAGUGUGCCCUACUCCCAAACCCCAAGCUCAAAGUCAAAGGCAUCUCAAAAGGAUACUUAUACCUAUUGGGGCCGCAGUAUUUGUUACAUGGUGUGUAUUGAUGGGAUUCUUAUGGAGAUGCUAUUGCAAGAGACGCCCAUUGAUCUCACAACUCUUUGAAUUGGGCCCUCAGAGAAUUUCAUUUCCAGAUCUUCUUACCGCAAGCGAUGGGUUUAAUGAGGCCAACUUGAUAGGAGUUGGUAGUUCUGGAAAAGUGUAUAAAGGAGUUUUGAAGGAUGGGGCAAUGGUUGCUAUCAAAGUUUUUGACCUGCAGGAUGAAGAUGCACUUAAGAUUUUUGAUAGAGAGUGCGAAGUUUUGAGAAGAGUUCGGCAUAGAAACCUGGUCAGAGUCAUAACCUCUUAUUCAGAUCCAGACUGCAAAGCACUAAUAUUUCCUCUAAUGCCAAAUGGGAACCUAGAUAACCUUUUAUAUCCUCCAAGUGAACACAGUUCUCAAGGACAAUUGUGUAGCUUGGAUUUUAUUCUUAGAUUGAGAAUAUUGAUGGACAUUGCACAAGGAAUGGAAUACCUCCAUCACCAUUGUUUUGUGCAAGUCAUCCAUUGUGAUUUAAAGCCCAGUAAUGUCCUUCUUGGUGAGGAUAUGACAGCUUAUUUAACAGACUUUGGUAUUUCGAGAUUGUAUCCUAGAAACUAUGGGGAUUCACUCACUUCAACAGGUACACUAAAAGGAUCCAUUGGAUACAUUGCCCCAGAAUAUGGAACGAGCGGAGUUGUUACUACAAAAGGAGAUGUCUACAGCUAUGGAAUAGUGUUACUGGAGAUGCUGACAGGAAAGAAGCCAACAAAUAGCAUGUUUGUAGAAGGAAUGAUCUUGCCAAAUUGGGUGAGUAGAAGUUUUCCAGACACAAUAGAAGAAGUCAUUGAUAGCCAUUUGCUGAGUGCUGCUGUGAACAGUGAGGAAGGGAAGGUACUCAACUGUCUCAGACAGCUCAUAUGUAUCGGUUUGCUUUGCACAAAAGAUUUCCCUGAAGAACGACCGAGUAUGAUUGACAUUGUCAGAAUACUGGGAAAUAUCAGAGAUACUUUUCUUGGAAUUGCUUCAACUCCAACACUCCAGUCAGAUUUCUCGCAUCUUCUUGGUAGCACAAGUGGUCCUCACAAAAGUGAUGAAAGCCAAAGUUCCUCAUACUGAAAUAGAAAAGCCUCAAAUAUUGUAUCAUCUUCACUUAUUUCACACAUCUGGAUGAUGUUUGUGUGUUGGGCAUGGUUGACAUCUCUGAGGAAGUUGUUCGUGAGGUUUCUGCUCUGUUAAGGUGUAACAAGAUUAUGAUUCUCCUCCGGUGAAAUUCAGACUCAUGCUGUCAAGUUUGUUCUCCCUGGAGGACUGACAAAGCAUGCUGUUUCAGAAGGAAAUAAGGGAAAAUAAUUGGAAGGAUUUGAAGUGGUUCGAGGCCAAUAGAGCUCCUUUAACGCCCGUAAGCUUCUUGGAAAGAGCAGGCAGUGUGUACAGGGAUGGAGCUUCCAUUAUCCAUGGCUCUGCUCGCUUCACUUGGGCCCAAACGCUUGACCGGUGCAUCAGGCUUGCUUCCGCCCUUACCUCUCUCCAUGUCAAGCCCGGAGACGUUGUAAGAUUAUCCACUGAAAAUUUAAUACAUUGUCUUUAUUUGUAUCUAGAAAUAGUAAUUUUUAACCGGCCGAAUCGUCAUUUUCAUAAACUUAAGUGCUAGUAGGGAUUGAAGUCUCCGAGGAAAUAGGAC
RNA transcript from Cryptomeria japonica (Japanese cedar), 4015 nucleotides. It is a transcript of the gene named probable LRR receptor-like serine/threonine-protein kinase At3g47570, with no coding region annotated. The transcript is spliced from 3 exons. The record is from RefSeq and is a predicted model, not a curated record. NCBI's taxonomy places the organism in Eukaryota, Viridiplantae, Streptophyta, Pinopsida, Cupressales, Cupressaceae.